AUAUUGGUCAAUGGAGGCAACUCUGAACCAACCAUGCCGCGUGCAGGAAGACAGCCCUCUGGGUCGUAAACUGCUUUUAUUCGGGAAUAAACCUAUUUACGUGUAAAUAGCUGAAUGUACCGAAGGAAUAAGGAUCGGCUAACUCCGUGCCAGCAGCCGCGGUAAUACGGAGGAUCCAAGCGUUAUCCGGAUUUAUUGGGUUUAAAGGGUGCGUAGGCGGCUUAUUAAGUCAGGGGUGAAAGACGGUGGCUCAACCAUCGCAGUGCCCUUGAUACUGAUGAGCUUGAAUACACUAGAGGUAGGCGGAAUGUGACAAGUAGCGGUGAAAUGCAUAGAUAUGUCACAGAACACCGAUUGCGAAGGCAGCUUACUAUGGUGUCAUUGACGCUGAGGCACGAAAGCGUGGGGAUCAAACAGG
This 418-nucleotide ribosomal RNA is filed under the name uncultured bacterium. RNAcentral describes it as "bacterial SSU rRNA". It matches the Rfam family "Bacterial small subunit ribosomal RNA", at positions 361 to 776 of the family's 1533-position model. The record is from RNAcentral.